RNAcentral lists this ribosomal RNA (253 nucleotides) under uncultured bacterium. RNAcentral's name for it is "partial 16S ribosomal RNA". It matches the Rfam family "Bacterial small subunit ribosomal RNA", at positions 524 to 776 of the family's 1533-position model. The record is from RNAcentral.
UACGAAGGGUGCAAGCGUUACUCGGAAUUACUGGGCGUAAAGGGUGCGUAGGUGGCGGGGCAAGUCAGGCGUGAAAUUUCGGAGCUUAACUCCGAAACUGCAUUUGAUACUGCCUUGCUUGAGGACUGGAGAGGAGACUGGAAUUCACGGUGUAGCAGUGAAAUGCGUAGAUAUCGUGAGGAAGACCAGUGGCGAAGGCGGGUCUCUGGACAGUUCCUGACACUGAGGCACGAAGGCCAGGGGAGCAAACGGG